Molecule: ribosomal RNA, 493 nt
Filed under: uncultured bacterium
Lineage: Bacteria
Description: partial 16S ribosomal RNA
Rfam family: Bacterial small subunit ribosomal RNA
Source: RNAcentral
AUUGAACGCUGGCGGCAUGCUUUACACAUGCAAGUCGAACGGUAACAGGUUAAGCUGACGAGUGGCGAACGGGUGAGUAAUGCAUCGGAACGUGCCCGGUCGUGGGGGAUAACACCUCGAAAGAAGUGCGAAUACCGCAUACGAUCUGAGGAUGAAAGCUGGGGACCGUAAGGCCUCGCGCGAUCGGAGGGGCCCAUGUCAGAUUAGGUAGUUGGUGGGGUAAAGGCCUACCAAGCCGACGAUCUGUAGCUGGUCUGAGAGGACGACCAGCCACACUGGGACUGAGACACGGCCCAGACUCCUACGGGAGGCAGCAGUGGGGGAUUUUGGACAAUGGGCGCAAGCCUGAUCCAGCAAUGCCGCGUGCAGGAAGAAGGCCUUCGGGUUGUAAACUGCUUUUGUACGGAGCGAAAAGGCUCUCUCUAAUACAGGGGGCAAAUGACGGUACCGUAAGAAUAAGCACCGGCUAACUACGUGCCAGCAGCCGCGGUAA